Molecule: ribosomal RNA, 492 nt
Filed under: uncultured bacterium
Lineage: Bacteria
Description: partial 16S ribosomal RNA
Rfam family: Bacterial small subunit ribosomal RNA
Source: RNAcentral
AGUGAACGCUGGCGGUAGGCCUAACACAUGCAAGUCGAACGGCAGCACAGUAAGAGCUUGCUCUUACGGGUGGCGAGUGGCGGACGGGUGAGGAAUACAUCGGAAUCUACUUUUUCGUGGGGGAUAACGUAGGGAAACUUACGCUAAUACCGCAUACGACCUACGGGUGAAAGCAGGGGAUCUUCGGACCUUGCGCGAUUGAAUGAGCCGAUGUCGGAUUAGCUAGUUGGCGGGGUAAAGGCCCACCAAGGCGACGAUCCGUAGCUGGUCUGAGAGGAUGAUCAGCCACACUGGAACUGAGACACGGUCCAGACUCCUACGGGAGGCAGCAGUGGGGAAUAUUGGACAAUGGGCGCAAGCCUGAUCCAGCCAUACCGCGUGGGUGAAGAAGGCCUUCGGGUUGUAAAGCCCUUUUGUUGGGAAAGAAAGGCAGCAGGUUAAUACCCCGCUGUUCUGACAGUACCCAAAGAAUAAGCACCGGCUAACUUCGUG